UACGUAGGGUGCGAGCGUUGUCCGGAAUUAUUGGGCGUAAAGAGCUUGUAGGCGGUCUGUCGCGUCUGCUGUGAAAAUCCGGGGCUCAACCCCGGACUUGCAGUGGGUACGGGCAGACUAGAGUGUGGUAGGGGAGACUGGAAUUCCUGGUGUAGCGGUGAAAUGCGCAGAUAUCAGGAGGAACACCGAUGGCGAAGGCAGGUCUCUGGGCCGAUACUGACGCUGAGGAGCGAAAGCGUGGGGAGCGAACAGG
RNAcentral lists this ribosomal RNA (253 nucleotides) under uncultured bacterium. RNAcentral's name for it is "partial 16S ribosomal RNA". It matches the Rfam family "Bacterial small subunit ribosomal RNA", at positions 524 to 776 of the family's 1533-position model. The record is from RNAcentral.